CCUACGGGAGGCUGCAGUGGGGAAUAUUGGGCAAUGGGCGCAAGCCUGACCCAGCAACGCCGCGUGAAGGAAGAAGGCUUUCGGGUUGUAAACUUCUUUUAUUGAGGACGAAACAAAUGACGGUACUCAAUGAAUAAGCCACGGCUAACUACGUGCCAGCAGCCGCGGUAAUACGUAGGUGGCAAGCGUUAUCCGGAUUUACUGGGUGUAAAGGGCGUGUAGGCGGGACUGCAAGUCAGAUGUGAAAACGAUGGGCUCAACCCAUGGCCUGCAUUUGAAACUGUAGGUCUGGAGUGGUGGAGAGGCAGGCGGAAUUCGGGGUGUAGCGGUGAAAUGCGUAGAUAUACGGAGGAACACCAGUGGCGAAGGCGGAUUGCUGGACAGUAACUGACGCUGAGGCGCGAAAGCGUGGGGAGCAAACAGGAUUAGAUACCCUGGUAGUC
RNAcentral lists this ribosomal RNA (443 nucleotides) under uncultured bacterium. RNAcentral describes it as "partial 16S ribosomal RNA". It matches the Rfam family "Bacterial small subunit ribosomal RNA", at positions 338 to 795 of the family's 1533-position model. The record is from RNAcentral.